CUAUCAGGGGCUGCACUGCUGGCGGCAGUCAACAGAGUUGGCAUCCAAGGAAGGAGUGGUUCUCCUCUCCCUGACUCCACACUCCAGAGGGCGAACCACUCUUGGUCAUACUGGAGUGCGGCAGGGUACGCAGCGUUUGCAUGGGAAUCCUGAGCAUGGCAGAGCCCCCACACCCACCGUGGUUCCUGGGCCUGUGCACUCUGGGUCUGUGCCUCAGAGGCUGCCAGGCACCCCUGGGGACACCACGGGGAACAGGGCCCUGUGUGUGGAGGCAUCCGGAACAGGAAUUGGCACCUGGGUGCGGAGGGCUGGCUGGGUCUGAAUUUUUCUGCUUCUCCUGUUCCCCGAGGAGUGCAGCCCCGGUGGGCCCAGUGGUUCCUGUGGAGUGGGGAGCUGGGUGCUGUGGUGUCUCCAGCACCCACCCCAGACCCCAGUUCCCGGCCAGCUUGGGCCAAAAGGAGAGGCUGGACUUUGGAGGGUGGGUGUGAGUGCCUUUGCUGAAACUGGCCCCUGCCACCCAGUGGCCGGCACGACAACUUGAGGCUCUAACGCUUCCACUCCUCACAACUUCCUCUAGGCUUUUCUGGCUUUGCCCGCCCAGCUGCUCCAUGCCAGGAGGAGGAGGAGACACCUAGAGCCUGCAACACCACGGCUCACCUCGCUGCGGGUGGGUGGCAGUGACGGAGACUGCAGUGCGCCAGAGCGAUUUUCAAAGUGUCAUACCUUGAACCACCGCCAGAUGGCUAUGAGAAUGUUACAAAUACUGCGCCACCAUAUAAUGCUUUCUCAGCCCAAGGCAUGCCAGAGGUAAAAUAAAAUACAUUUGUAACCCAAGUCUUUAAAUGGUUCUUUUGCUAUAUAAAACCUGUAUAGAGGACUAAAACCAAGGAAAUUAGGUGAAUCAUUCAUGCGGAUUCAUUGUUUGAUAUUCAGUGCUAUGAAAACCUCAUCCCUCAAAUUUAA
This 963-nucleotide long non-coding RNA is filed under the name Homo sapiens (human). RNAcentral's name for it is "HSALNT0352385". Lineage: Eukaryota; Metazoa; Chordata; Mammalia; Primates; Hominidae. The record is from RNAcentral.